UGGGGAAUUUUGGACAAUGGGCGCAAGCCUGAUCCAGCCAUGCCGCGUGUGGGAAGAAGGCCUUCGGGUUGUAAACCUCUUUCAGCACAGACGAAGCGCAAGUGACGGUAUGUGCAGAAGAAGGACCGGCCAACUACGUGCCAGCAGCCGCGGUAAUACGUAGGGUGCGAGCGUUAAUCGGAAUUACUGGGCGUAAAGCGUGCGCAGGCGGUGAUGUAAGACAGAUGUGAAAUCCCCGGGCUCAACCUGGGACCUGCAUUUGUGACUGCAUCGCUAGAGUACGGUAGAGGGGGAUGGAAUUCCGCGUGUAGCAGUGAAGUGCGUAGAUAUGCGGAGGAACACCGAUGGCGAAGGCAAUCCCCUGGACCUGUACUGACGCUCAUGCACGAAAGCGUGGGGAGCAAACAGGAUUAGAUACCCUGGUAGUCCACGCCCUAAACGAUGUCAACUGGUUGUUGGGUCUUUACUGACUCAGUAACGAAGCUAACGCGUGAAGUUGACCGCCUGGGGAGUACGGCCGCAAGGUUG
This 528-nucleotide ribosomal RNA is filed under the name uncultured bacterium. RNAcentral's name for it is "bacterial SSU rRNA". It matches the Rfam family "Bacterial small subunit ribosomal RNA", at positions 355 to 896 of the family's 1533-position model. The record is from RNAcentral.